Molecule: long non-coding RNA, 2695 nt
Filed under: Homo sapiens (human)
Lineage: Eukaryota; Metazoa; Chordata; Mammalia; Primates; Hominidae
Description: HSALNT0078210
Source: RNAcentral
AGGACUUUUACAAGAACAGAGGAGGCUCAUAAGAGUCAUCUCGAGGCACCUCAGAUCUGAAAUCCUCCAGGAUUUUGAAGUCCUCUGCAUCCGGGCAGUGGAACAGAAGUGUGGAGAAGAUUCAUCAUCUGCUUCUUAAAUGCCCUAGUCAGAAAGGGGUACUCAUCAUUUCUGUUCAUAUUUUAUACGGCUACAAAUAGAUGUGAGAAGAGCAAGAAAACAUAGUCCUGGCAAGGCAGUUGCCUUCUGAUGACAACUCUGCACUCUGGAGGUAGACAAAUUUUGGUCAAUAGCUGGCAGUUUUAGCCAUAUUAGUCCAGUACUCACCUUCACAAAUGAGGAAACUUAAGACUCGGCCAUUGUUGAUCUAACACAUACUUACUGUUUUUUAUUGUGUUUUCUUGAUCUAAUGGUAUUUUGAAACACAAUGGGUAGGACUAAAAUAUGGACCAUUUGAAAGGAGGAAAUGUUAGAUUAUUAUACUAGGCAAAUAAUGUUGCCAAUAUAUUUGCACAAUUAUGGGACAUAGACUUUCAUUUUCCUGUUUAAAAUAAGUAUGUAGUAUUAAAGAAUUAACAUAAAAUAUGGCAUUAUUAAGAAGAUCUAUGAUUUUGGUGCCUGGUCCUUAUUUAGGAGUUUAGCACCCUGGUUACAUAUAUCAUAAUAAUGAAAAAGCAUUAUUCUGUUUUAUGCUGCCUGCAGAAAAAAAAAGGAUGAAAAAUAGAUACUGUCUGUGCAGUAUGAGCCACAGUAUAAAUGUGCAGAAUAUGAUCUAAGUGGAGGAUAAUAAAAAUUUUGAAAGCAGUAUUUGCAAAACUUGUUCCAAACUUCCUCAUUAAUCAGCACAAAUAUUUUUCUAAGUAUACAUUGGAAGGCCUUUGCACUUAACUCAAUUAUUGAAGUAGUAGGAAAAUUAUGCUCUACUGUGUAUAAAAUAUUUCUAAGCUAUUCAAAGAAGACACUACAAAGAUAUUUAAAGAAGAUACUAUAAUAUAGAAAAACACUUCAUGCAGAUGUAUCAAUUAUUAGUAUCUCAUCACUGUAUGGCGUUCUUAACUAAGUUGAAAUUGUUUUCAAAUACUGGUUGAAUAAGUGAAGAAGGAAAAUUGUAUUGUGUUAACAGAAAUAUGUGUUCAUUCACCCACCCACUGAACACCUAUUUUGUGCCAGACGUUGUUCUGGACACUAGGGAUCCAGCAGGGAAUAAAAUACAUGAGUUUCCCACUUGCUUAUUUUUCCCUUACUUUACAAACCUGGAACUCUUUAAACAACAAACUGAAAAACACCACACAAAAUUAGGCAGCUAUCUUUGAAGAGUGAAUUUGCUUGGAAUUGCCUGCUUUGAGCAUCAUAAGUUUGAUGAGGUAUGAAGCAAAAAUACAGAUGUACAACAUUAAUUAAAAUAACCAGCAAUUCCACCAGAGGAUUCCAAAAGGGAUUUAAAGACUCACCCUGCCAGAACAGAGACGGAGCCAGAAAAGGGUGAUGAAGCAGAUUUACAAGACCGGCUCUCAGAAAAUUUGCUUGGACAUGCAGAACCAUGCUUUCAAGUACUAUUGUUACCAACGCGAAUCUGCAGCGAAAGUGAUCCUUGCCUCUCUGGAGGACAGAAUUUGGCUGAGGGGCAGAAGUAUGUUUAAGGCAGAGGGAGAGACUGAGGCAAGUUUUAGAGCAAAAGUGAGAGUUUAUUAAAAAGUUUUAGAGCCUGAGUGAAAGGAAGCAAAGCACACUUGGAAGAGGGUCAAGUGGGUUCCUUGAGAGAUCCAAGUGCCCCGUCCAACCUUUGGCUUGGGAUUUUAAUACAUUGGCUUGGUUCCGGGAUUUGAGUUUCUCCUCCCUUGAUUUCUCCCUUGCGGCAGGCUGUCCACAGGCACAGUGGCCCGCCAGCACUUGGGAAGGGGUGCAUACACAGUGUGUUUACUGAAGUUGUGUGCAUGCUCACUUGAGGUGUUUUUCCCCUCAUUAGACAAAAAUUCCCAGAGGAAGGUUAUAUACCAGUUAAACUUUGCCAUUUUGCCUCUUAGUGCAUGCUUGAGCCCACUAGCCCAAUCCCUGAGAUCUUAUCGGGAAGCUGCUGCUCCUCCACAGCUCCAGGAGUUUCCUAUUUAUUGGGAGACUGUCGGUCCCUAGUACCAGCUGUGACCAAUUAUAAUUUCAGAGACACAGUUUAACAACCACCUGACCAUUACCUGAUGGUCCCCUGAAGUUCUCUGGGGUUGGGAGAGGCUCUCCUGCCUGGCUCAUGUCUGCCUAACUACCUACUCUAACAUUAUGACUUGGAGAAAUACUUAUUGGGGACUUUUAAAAAACUGCAGAGUAUCAUAAGACUUUUGGCUAUGAGGAUUUACCAGUUGCAGAAUAAAGAAUUUUAAAAUAAUUUGUCUUUGAAGAUAUUACCUUCUGAUAUAUUGCAAGUAAGGUAUUGAGAAGUCAAUAGGGUUUGGUGCCAGGUUUCUGAUGGAGAAUUUGAAGAUACGUGUUUACAUUUCUAUAAAGUAAAUUUGACUGUCUGAGUCACAUAUAUCUUGGUCAUAAUUCACAAUUAUUAGGAAAUUUGAAAAUAAUUUUUUUAACAAAAGCAAAUUUGAGAAAGUCUAUUUUUAAAGUUGCUAAAAUAAGGGGCUCAGUAUAUUUUUAGUAAUUGGAAGACUGGUUGAUUGAGAAAUACAAAUUUUUCAGUAAAAAUGUAUUUUCU